GUGGCGACCGGGUGAGUAACACGUGACUAACCUACCUCUUAGUGGGGAAUAACUCCGGGAAACCGGGGCUAAUACCGCAUAACAUCGCAAGAUCAAAGCCGAAAGGCGCUGGGAGAGGGGGUCGCGGCUGAUUAGCUAGUUGGCGGGGUAACGGCCCACCAAGGCGAAGAUCGGUAUCCGGCCUGGGAGGGCGCACGGACACACUGGAACUGAAACACGGUCCAGACUCCUACGGGAGGCAGCAGUGGGGAAUUUUGCGCAAUGGGGGAAACCCUGACGCAGCAACGCCGCGUGGAGGAUGAAGUCCCUUGGGACGUAAACUCCUUUCGACCAAGACGAUAAUGACGGUACUGGUGGAAGAAGCACCGGCUAACUCUGUGCCAGCAGCCGCGGUAAUACAGAGGGUGCGAGCGUUGUUCGGAAUUAUUGGGCGUAAAGGGCGCGUAGGCGGUGCCACAAGUCACUUGUGAAAUCUCCGGGCUUAACUCGGAGCCUGCAGGCGAAACUGUGGUGCUGGAGUAUGGGAGAGGUGCGUGGAAUUCCCGGUGUAGCGGUGAAAUGCGUAGAUAUCGGGAGGAACACCUGUGGCGAAAGCGGCGCACUGGACCAUAACUGACGCUGAGGCGCGAAAGCUAGGGGAGCAAACAGGAUUAGAUACCCUGGUAGUCCUAGCCCUAAACGAUGAUUGCUUGGUGUAGCAGGUACCCAAUCCUGCUGUGCCGCAGCUAACGCGAUAAGCAAUCCGCCUGGGGAGUACGGUCGCAAGGUUGAAACUCAAAGGAAUUGACG
This 789-nucleotide ribosomal RNA is filed under the name uncultured Acidobacteriota bacterium. RNAcentral describes it as "bacterial SSU rRNA". It matches the Rfam family "Bacterial small subunit ribosomal RNA", at positions 95 to 915 of the family's 1533-position model. The record is from RNAcentral. Lineage: Bacteria; Pseudomonadati; Acidobacteriota.